Long non-coding RNA from Amblyraja radiata (thorny skate), 197 nucleotides. RefSeq lists it as uncharacterized. Lineage: Eukaryota; Metazoa; Chordata; Chondrichthyes; Rajiformes; Rajidae. The record is from RefSeq and is a predicted model, not a curated record. The transcript is spliced from 3 exons.
GGGUUUGCCAGGGCCUUCCUGAAUAGCCUCUCACUGAAAAUCAACGAAUAUCCACAUCCAGACUUACAGGAGGAAUGUGAAAGGGAGAUGGACUUGUAUGAAAGCGAAACUGAAGUGGAAGAAACAGAAAGUGAAGAAACUUAUGAGGAAGAAUUAGAAAACUAUGAACUGAUAUCAGAAGGUGAAAUAGAAGCAAA